GGGCACAGGAGCGCUUCCGGGGCGGUGUCAUCGCUGUCACCCUCACCGGCAUCGUCGUGACCACCGUCAUCAUGACAACGCUCCGCGCCUUCACCUGCGAUGACCUCUUCCGAUUCAACAACAUCAAUCUGGACCCGCUGACCGAGACCUACGGGAUUCCUUUCUACUUGCAGUACCUCGCCCACUGGCCCGAGUAUUUCAUCGUCGCCGAGGCGCCCGGCGGGGAGCUGAUGGGUUACAUUGUCUGGCUGCAGGCACUGCAUUACUCCAGAAAUGCUGCUGUGCUGAUGCUCUGUAUGUUCACAGUCAUGGGCAAAGCCGAAGGCUCUGUGGCUAGGGAAGAAUGGCAUGGACACGUUACUGCUCUGUCUGUUGCACCAGAAUUUCGAAGGCUGGGUUUGGCUGCUAAAUUGAUGGAGCUCCUGGAAGAAAUUUCAGAAAAAAAGGGUGGAUUUUUUGUCGAUCUCUUUGUGAGAGUGUCAAAUCAGGUUGCUGUAAAUAUGUAUAAGCAACUAGGCUACAGUGUGUACCGGACAGUCUUAGAGUACUACUCAGCUAGCAGUGGGGAGCCAGAUGAAGAUGCUUAUGGUCUUUUUUUAAUUAUCCUCCCAAAGGCUUACAUGGCCAGGCUGUAUAUCAUCUCUGUUCUUGCAUUAUUUAUUUGUUAUGUAGGAGCACUGUGAAAUACAAGGGCUAGGAUAGACACCUACCAUUGCUGCAUGUGACUUAAAUCAUAUAUUUGUCCCUUUAGCCUGUCAUUUCCAUUUUAUUCAGCUGAGUUUCAUGCAGUGUUUUAUAUCAGUUGAUAUCAUUGCCACUGAGCAACAUUAAGGACAUUAGUGUGUCCUGAGGAGAGCAAUCAAGAUGGUGAGAGGUCUUGAGGGCAAGAUUUAGGAGGAGCAGCUGAUGUCCAUGAGUUUGUUCCACUUGGAGAAGAGAAAGCUGAGGCACCUCCUCGUCACAGUCUGUAGAAGACAGCAGAGGGGAGUGUUGAUCUCCUCUCUCCGGUGACCAGUGACACGACAUGAGGAGAUGGAGCAAAGCUGUGUCAGGAUAUGAGAAAAGCUCUUUCCAGAGAUACAGAGAAGAAAUCAGUUAUACCCCUGCCUCAUCCUGUGAGGCCAGAAGACAUCGAGUAACUUGGAGCUGUGGUUCUCAUGCAGUUUCCUAAGUGUCAGGUUCCAUCUCCUGUAACCCCCAACAAUUCAUGGAUAAGAAGUUUUAGGCCAAAUGUUUAGGCCAAUUUUUUUCCUAUAAAAUACUAAAAAGCAGUAUUGAGAAGCUGACUAACACUGCUUCUAUUGGUAAUGGCUGUAUACUGCCAUACUUUAUGAUUUUUCCUUUCACAUACUGGAGAUUUGGAGACUAUUAAAGUGGAAUUGCCUCCUG
RNA transcript from Cinclus cinclus, 1389 nucleotides. It is a transcript of the gene named N-alpha-acetyltransferase 20, NatB catalytic subunit, with no coding region annotated. The transcript is spliced from 7 exons. The record is from RefSeq and is a predicted model, not a curated record. NCBI's taxonomy places the organism in Eukaryota, Metazoa, Chordata, Aves, Passeriformes, Cinclidae.